CAGUAGCCACGGUAAUACGUAGGGUGCAAGCGUUGUCCGGAAUUAUUGGGCGUAAAGAGCUCGUAGGCGGCUUGUUGCGUCGACUGUGAAAACCUGGGGCUCAACCCCGGGCCUGCAGUCGAUACGGGCAAGCUAGAAUUCGGUAGGGGAGACUGGAACUCCUGGUGUAGCGGUGAAAUGCGCAGAUAUCAGGAAGAACACCGGUGGCGAAGGCGGGUCUCUGGGCCGAUAUUGACGCUGAGGAGCGAAAGCGUGGGGAGCAAACAGGAUUAGAUACCCCCGUAGUCCCUGUCUCUUAUAC
RNAcentral lists this ribosomal RNA (301 nucleotides) under uncultured bacterium. RNAcentral describes it as "partial 16S ribosomal RNA". It matches the Rfam family "Bacterial small subunit ribosomal RNA", at positions 509 to 807 of the family's 1533-position model. The record is from RNAcentral.